GGGUUGUGAGGUUAAGCGACUAAGCGUACACGGUGGAUGCCCUGGCAGUCAGAGGCGAUGAAGGACGUGCUAAUCUGCGAUAAGCGCCGGUAAGGUGAUAUGAACCGUUAUAACCGGCGAUUUCCGAAUGGGGAAACCCAGUGUGACUCGUCACACUAUCAUUAACUGAAUCCAUAGGUUAAUGAGGCGAACCGGGGGAACUGAAACAUCUAAGUACCCCGAGGAAAAGAAAUCAACCGAGAUUCCCCCAGUAGCGGCGAGCGAACGGGGAGGAGCCCAGAGCCUGAAUCAGCAUGUGUGUUAGUGGAAGCGUCUGGAAAGGCGC
RNAcentral lists this ribosomal RNA (325 nucleotides) under Salmonella enterica. RNAcentral describes it as "partial 23S ribosomal RNA". It matches the Rfam family "Bacterial large subunit ribosomal RNA", at positions 1 to 353 of the family's 2925-position model. Lineage: Bacteria; Pseudomonadati; Pseudomonadota; Gammaproteobacteria; Enterobacterales; Enterobacteriaceae. The record is from RNAcentral.